Molecule: long non-coding RNA, 610 nt
Filed under: Androctonus crassicauda
Lineage: Eukaryota; Metazoa; Arthropoda; Arachnida; Scorpiones; Buthidae
Source: RNAcentral
AGAAAUCAUUCUUAACAUUCGAGAAUGCUAAUUUUAAAAAUUCAACAUAGUGUUCUAAAAUUCGAAUACAUUAAAUUUUUAAACAGAUAAUUGUUAUGAGUAUACAGUUAAAUGGGUUAAAUAGGCAUUAAGAUUAUAAAUAACAUUAAGAAAGGAUUAUAUACAAAUCAUAAAUUAUAUAACGGAAAUAAAUUAAAUUAAAUAAUAAUACAGGUUAUGAAAUUAAAAUUAUUUAGAGGGUAAUAUGCUUGAACAUAAGUAAAAAGGUAAUAUAAAUAAAGUGCAAAUAAUAGUCCAAUGCCAUUAUCUCCAGCCACACAUUCCAUGUUCUCCUAUGGUCCUCUUCUUAACUUUGGGUUGUUUUGUUCUUGGGUCCUGGUAUUUCAACAAAUAUUUCCAGGGUUUGGGGACUGCUUCCACCUGCCUAUUGUUUAUAACGACUGCUUCAGAUUUGUCUCUAAAUAUUUCUAAGUUUUCUGUCAUGGACAGCUCUUCUACGUUGUUUACUUAUUUUAUUACUUUAGCCUCUUCCCAUCUUAUGUUUAAUGGUUAUAAGAAGUUUAAUGGUCUGCUCGUUGGUGCUUGGAUUAAAUUAGUUAUUAUAGUGUAG